GGUGGUUGGGUAGAGAAUACCAAGGCGCUUGAGAGAACUCGGGUGAAGGAACUAGGCAAAAUGGCACCGUAACUUCGGGAGAAGGUGCGCCGGUGAGGGUGAAGCAUUUACUGCGUAAGCCCAUGCCGGUCGAAGAUACCAGGCCGCUGCGACUGUUUAUUAAAAACACAGCACUCUGCAAACACGAAAGUGGACGUAUAGGGUGUGACGCCUGCCCGGUGCCGGAAGGUUAAUUGAUGGGGUUAGCGCA
RNAcentral lists this ribosomal RNA (250 nucleotides) under Pseudomonas syringae. RNAcentral's name for it is "partial 23S ribosomal RNA". It matches the Rfam family "Bacterial large subunit ribosomal RNA", at positions 1662 to 1897 of the family's 2925-position model. Lineage: Bacteria; Pseudomonadati; Pseudomonadota; Gammaproteobacteria; Pseudomonadales; Pseudomonadaceae. The record is from RNAcentral.